RNAcentral lists this ribosomal RNA (253 nucleotides) under uncultured bacterium. RNAcentral's name for it is "partial 16S ribosomal RNA". It matches the Rfam family "Bacterial small subunit ribosomal RNA", at positions 524 to 776 of the family's 1533-position model. The record is from RNAcentral.
UACGAAGGGUGCAAACGUUGCUCGGAAUUAUUGGGCGUAAAGGGCGCGUAGGCGGUAGCACAAGUCAGUUGUGAAAUCUCCGGGCUUAACUCGGAAAGGUCAACUGAUACUGUGCGACUAGAGUGCAGAAGGGGCAACUGGAAUUCUCGGUGUAGCGGUGAAAUGCGUAGAUAUCGAGAGGAACACCUGCGGCGAAGGCGGGUUGCUGGGCUGACACUGACGCUGAGGCGCGAAAGCCAGGGGAGCGAACGGG